This is a non-coding RNA of Phascolarctos cinereus (koala), 1365 nucleotides long. The record is from RefSeq and is a predicted model, not a curated record. NCBI's taxonomy places the organism in Eukaryota, Metazoa, Chordata, Mammalia, Diprotodontia, Phascolarctidae.
GAUUAAUAAGGCUCUUCAGUUUACCCAAAGCAUUGUUUUCUCCACCUUCUAGCUUUUGCUUUGGGUACCUACUUCCUUGAUAAUUGUUCUUUUGAUCCAUUCUGGAUUUUUUAAGAAAAAUAAAUGUGAAAAGAACAUUGUUUCGUUUUUUUUUUGUGAAGAGGCCCUAACCAGCCAACUAGCUUCUAAGUGACUUACAGAAAACUCAGUGUGGUUAAUGUGAAAUAAUUAAAAGUGAGUAUUUUCUAGUGGCCACAAAAAUAGUUUUUCUGAGUGACAACUUUCAGCCUUGGGAUUAGCUUGAACAUUUUGUCUAACUUUUUUUUUUUUUUUUUUUUUUGCCACUGCACCAUCAUCACGUGUUUGGAGACUUAUCCGCUAAGAUUCUUGUGGAAUGUUAGAAGUGAAGAUCCUAGGUGAUUCUAGCAGAUAAGGAAACUAGCAAUCAGAGAAGAAAGCAAUCUGCCCAAGGUCACAAUUAAGGGCAAGUCGAUGGGAACUUCAGCUCUCCAGACUCCCAGUCAAGUGGCUGGCUGUAGUUCACUGUCUACAUUGGCUUAGUCCUUGAUAAUGAAUAGAAUCCUUGCAAGGGGAGCUGUGAAAUCUGCAUUUCUCCUGUCUUGGAACCAAAAGGACUGCCCACUGGAGUGGGCAGCAGUCUUCUAAUAACUAAUUAUCCAACCAAUAGUCAUGCCACUUUCCUUACUGAUAACUGGAGCCUGCAGCAUUGGAGAAUAAUAGGAGAGAGAAGUUUUGAGCGGCUUUGUUUUUUGCUGCACGUGAUAGGGCCUUGACUCAUUCUGAAGGAUAAGUAUAGUGGAAACCACUGACAAUAAUGAUGGGUCUACUAAUGACCCAGCAACAGCCUUAAAGCCUACCACACUGAAAAAACUAGGGGACAGUAAGAGCAUCUGGAGCAGGCCUGUACAACACAUGGCCCACGGACCACUUGUGGCCUGCCAAAGGACUUCAGACAGCCCGUGAAAAUCUCCAAACAAAAUAAUGCUACAUUCCAUGGGAGUAAUAAUAGCACCUACCUCAGGGUUGUUAUGAAGAUCAAGUGAGAUGGCAUACAUGAAGCACUUUUCAAAGCCUAAAAAGUGCUAUUAAAUGCUAUUGUUAUUACCACCACUAGGAAAAGAUGACAAGUAGCCUUGUAAAAGAAAGAUGCACCAAGUGCUUUGUCCAUGCCCUGCUUAACCUGCCUUCACUAGUCACCAUUGUCCCUGUCAUGUAACUUGGCAGGUGCAUUGCCACUGUGCACUCCUGUUUAAAACGUGACUUGUGGAACCAACCGUCAUCGGUCUGUCUCUAGUCUAAGAGGAGCGAUUUCAUGAUCAAUAAAAACGCUAAUUAAUUAAUUGA